UACACUCCUACGGGAGGCAGCAGUGGGGAAUUUUGGACAAUGGGCGAAAGCCUGAUCCAGCAAUGCCGCGUGAGUGAAGAAGGCCUUCGGGUUGUAAAGCUCUUUUGUCAGGGAAGAAACGGUGAAAGCUAAUAUCUUUUGCUAAUGACGGUACCUGAAGAAUAAGCACCGGCUAACUACGUGCCAGCAGCCGCGGUAAUACGUAGGGUGCAAGCGUUAAUCGGAAUUACUGGGCGUAAAGCGUGCGCAGGCGGUUUUGUAAGUCUGAUGUGAAAUCCCCGGGCUCAACCUGGGAAUUGCAUUGGAGACUGCAAGGCUAGAAUCUGGCAGAGGGGGGUAGAAUUCCACGUGUAGCAGUGAAAUGCGUAGAUAUGUGGAGGAACACCGAUGGCGAAGGCAGCCCCCUGGGUCAAGAUUGACGCUCAUGCACGAAAGCGUGGGGAGCAAACAGGAUUAGAUACCCGAGUAGUCCCA
RNAcentral lists this ribosomal RNA (474 nucleotides) under uncultured organism. RNAcentral's name for it is "partial 16S ribosomal RNA". It matches the Rfam family "Bacterial small subunit ribosomal RNA", at positions 332 to 797 of the family's 1533-position model. The record is from RNAcentral.